This is a long non-coding RNA of Mesocricetus auratus (golden hamster), 1175 nucleotides long. RefSeq lists it as uncharacterized. The record is from RefSeq and is a predicted model, not a curated record. NCBI's taxonomy places the organism in Eukaryota, Metazoa, Chordata, Mammalia, Rodentia, Cricetidae. The transcript has 3 exons.
ACCUCCUCCCCCAGUGACAAUCAGUGCCCGGCUGAGCAUCCAGGCCUUGCCCGUCCCCGGGUGCCCUGGAAAUGGGAGACGGCUCGGCAGUGUCUGAGGCCAGGCACUGAGAUUGAGCUCCUUCCUGUCCCUUGGAGCCUGGCUUGGCCCAUGGGACUUAGCUGGUCAGCACUGUCCACAAAGCUCACAUGUAGCAGUCAGAGGUUGACCAGUGAGGCACAGCACUCCUUAAGAGGCAGAGUUGGCCAAGGCCAACAACUACGCAGGCCACUAUGUGCCAGACCCAGCCAUGUUUGUCCUUGCUUCCUCCUCAUCUUUGCAGUAUCCCGCCUCCCCCUCUGCGCUUUGAGAUCCCUUCAUCUUCUCUUCUGCUUCUCCCUGGCAUUCUUACCCACACAACCCUCCUGAAGGCCAGUGGAGGGCAAAAUGACUGGAGCACCGUCUAUCCAGGAGCAGCUUGUUUCCUCUCUCUUCCAGCAAGGGCAGGCAAGCCCAUGAAGAAGGGCACCCUAGACAUGUUCAACACCCUGGUGGUGGCUCCCGCCCGGGAGGUGGGAUCUGGAGCCUGGCGAAGCACCUCUUGGGAUGGGAGUCUUGUUCAAGAGGUUAGGCAUCCAGGAGUCAAGUGUGGCAUGCAGUGGUGAUCAGCCUCAAUGACCAGGAACGGCAUGAAAGAACACUCAGGAUGCACCCAGAAGAACGAGCAAGGUGCCUUGACCAGCGCCUGGAAGUACUGCUUUGUAUUAGCCACUUUUCUGCUGCUGAGAAAACACCUGGCGAAAACAACCUAAGGAAGGAAGGAAGGAGGGGUCUACUUUGCCUCACUGUUUAGGAAUAUAGUCUAUCACGGCAAGGAAGACACCGUGGCAGGUUUAGGAUUGGGACAGAAUUUCUAACAAUUUCUGAAAUGGCUAUAAACUUUCUCCUGAUACUUUGUACUCCGUCUUUCUUCUUGCAAAUUAGUGUUCCCAGCACUAACCAUCAGAAAAUCAAAAUAUUGGACAACCAUGAAAAACAUUGAAGAUGUCAGCCUAUGGUAUCAAAUACUCAAUACUUAAUUCUUUAUAUAAAAAAAUCAUAUCCAUCUCAUUAGUGUGCAAAUUUCUUUCAUCACUGAAUGGUAAAAUUAUAUGUAUAUCAAGAAAUUGAUUUGAAAUAAAUUCGUUUAUGAUUUA